Molecule: ribosomal RNA, 1553 nt
Filed under: Pectobacterium brasiliense
Lineage: Bacteria; Pseudomonadati; Pseudomonadota; Gammaproteobacteria; Enterobacterales; Pectobacteriaceae
Description: bacterial SSU rRNA
Rfam family: Bacterial small subunit ribosomal RNA
Source: RNAcentral
CUUAAAUUGAAGAGUUUGAUCAUGGCUCAGAUUGAACGCUGGCGGCAGGCCUAACACAUGCAAGUCGAGCGGUAGCACAGAAGAGCUUGCUCUUUGGGUGACGAGCGGCGGACGGGUGAGUAAUGUCUGGGAAACUGCCUGAUGGAGGGGGAUAACUACUGGAAACGGUAGCUAAUACCGCAUAACCUCGCAAGAGCAAAGAGGGGGACCUUCGGGCCUCUCGCCAUCAGAUGUGCCCAGAUGGGAUUAGCUAGUAGGUGAGGUAAUGGCUCACCUAGGCGACGAUCCCUAGCUGGUCUGAGAGGAUGACCAGCCACACUGGAACUGAGACACGGUCCAGACUCCUACGGGAGGCAGCAGUGGGGAAUAUUGCACAAUGGGCGCAAGCCUGAUGCAGCCAUGCCGCGUGUGUGAAGAAGGCCUUCGGGUUGUAAAGCACUUUCAGCGGGGAGGAAGGCGGUAAGGUUAAUAACCUUAUCGAUUGACGUUACCCGCAGAAGAAGCACCGGCUAACUCCGUGCCAGCAGCCGCGGUAAUACGGAGGGUGCAAGCGUUAAUCGGAAUGACUGGGCGUAAAGCGCACGCAGGCGGUCUGUUAAGUUGGAUGUGAAAUCCCCGGGCUUAACCUGGGAACUGCAUUCAAAACUGACAGGCUAGAGUCUUGUAGAGGGGGGUAGAAUUCCAGGUGUAGCGGUGAAAUGCGUAGAGAUCUGGAGGAAUACCGGUGGCGAAGGCGGCCCCCUGGACAAAGACUGACGCUCAGGUGCGAAAGCGUGGGGAGCAAACAGGAUUAGAUACCCUGGUAGUCCACGCUGUAAACGAUGUCGAUUUGGAGGUUGUGCCCUUGAGGCGUGGCUUCCGGAGCUAACGCGUUAAAUCGACCGCCUGGGGAGUACGGCCGCAAGGUUAAAACUCAAAUGAAUUGACGGGGGCCCGCACAAGCGGUGGAGCAUGUGGUUUAAUUCGAUGCAACGCGAAGAACCUUACCUACUCUUGACAUCCAGAGAAUUUGCUAGAGAUAGCUUAGUGCCUUCGGGAACUCUGAGACAGGUGCUGCAUGGCUGUCGUCAGCUCGUGUUGUGAAAUGUUGGGUUAAGUCCCGCAACGAGCGCAACCCUUAUCCUUUGUUGCCAGCGAUUCGGUCGGGAACUCAAAGGAGACUGCCGGUGAUAAACCGGAGGAAGGUGGGGAUGACGUCAAGUCAUCAUGGCCCUUACGAGUAGGGCUACACACGUGCUACAAUGGCGUAUACAAAGAGAAGCGACCUCGCGAGAGCAAGCGGACCUCAUAAAGUACGUCGUAGUCCGGAUUGGAGUCUGCAACUCGACUCCAUGAAGUCGGAAUCGCUAGUAAUCGUAGAUCAGAAUGCUACGGUGAAUACGUUCCCGGGCCUUGUACACACCGCCCGUCACACCAUGGGAGUGGGUUGCAAAAGAAGUAGGUAGCUUAACCUUCGGGAGGGCGCUUACCACUUUGUGAUUCAUGACUGGGGUGAAGUCGUAACAAGGUAACCGUAGGGGAACCUGCGGUUGGAUCACCUCCUUACCAAGAAG